Molecule: ribosomal RNA, 380 nt
Filed under: uncultured eukaryote
Lineage: Eukaryota
Description: partial 18S ribosomal RNA
Rfam family: Eukaryotic small subunit ribosomal RNA
Source: RNAcentral
CAAUAGCGUAUAUUAAAGUUGUUGCAGUUAAAAAGCUCGUAGUUGAACCUUGGGCCUGGCUGGCCGGUCUGCCUCACCGCAUGCACUGGUCCGGCCGGGCCUUUCCCUCUGGGGAUCCGCAUGCCCUUCACUGGGUGUGUCGGGGAACCAGGACUUUUACUGUGAAAAAAUUAGAGUGUUCAAAGCAGGCCUAUGCUCGAAUACAUUAGCAUGGAAUAAUAGAAUAGGACGUUGCGGUUCUAUUUUGUUGGUUUCUAGGACCGCCGUAAUGAUUAAUAGGGACAGUCGGGGGCGUCAGUAUUCAAUCGUCAGAGGUGAAAUUCUUGGAUCGAUUGAAGACUAACUACUGCGAAAGCAUUCGCCAAGGAUGUUUNCAUUAG